GGGCUCCCCACAGACGGAGCAAAGUACCUGUCAAGCAGCAUCAAAUAUCCAGUGCAAUCAAGACAACUUCUAUGAUAUGAAACAGCAAGAGGAAAAUCAUGCACUACCUCCUUAGAUUCUUAUCACCGGGGUGUGUUUAACAAGCAGAGCUAAGCUGAGGCAGGGAAAGGCCCUUGGAGGAACCAUCACUGCUUCCCUCGUGAUGAGAAGACCUGGCAAAAUUAUGAACAGGUGGAAAAGCGCACCCCAGAAGUGCUCCCUCACUUGCUCCUGAACCCGGGUACACAUCAGAACAUCAAUCUGCCUAUUCAGCAUCAUCACGACGGUGCGGGAACCUCCUUGGCACUUUCAAAUACUUUUUUCAUAAACCCAAUUCAUGUCCACUAGGAAUGGCCCUGACCAGGGAGAGACU
Molecule: long non-coding RNA, 412 nt
Organism: Balaenoptera acutorostrata (minke whale)
Lineage: Eukaryota; Metazoa; Chordata; Mammalia; Artiodactyla; Balaenopteridae
Exons: 3
Source: RefSeq, a predicted model, not a curated record